RNAcentral lists this unclassified non-coding RNA (319 nucleotides) under uncultured Tremellomycetes. Its description in RNAcentral is "sequence contains 5.8S rRNA gene". The stretch from base 1 to 53 matches the Rfam family "5.8S ribosomal RNA", at positions 102 to 154 of the family's 154-position model. Lineage: Eukaryota; Fungi; Basidiomycota; Tremellomycetes. The record is from RNAcentral.
GAACGCAUCUUGCGCUCCUUGGUAUUCUGAGGAGCAUGCCUGUUUGAGUGUCAUGAAAAUUAUCAACCAUGACUUGGGUUUAGGCCCUUGUUCUUGGCUUGGAUUUGGGUGCUUGCGGUCUUGUGCUGCUCACCUUAAAAGGAUUAGCUGGACAUGUCUAUUGACUUGGUUCUACUUGGCGUAAUAAGUAUUUCGCUGAGGACAUCCCUUCUGGGGUGGCCAAGACUCUGGCAAACGUCUGCUUUCUAACCUGACUGUCUUCGGACAUCACUUUUAUGAUCUGGCCUCAAAUCAGGUAGGACUACCCGCUGAACUUAAG